UACGUAGGUGGCAAGCGUUGUCCGGAAUUAUUGGGCGUAAAGAGCUCGUAGGCGGUUUGUCGCGUCUACUGUGAAAACCCGAGGCUCAACCUCGGGCCUGCAGUGGGUACGGGCAGACUAGAGUGCGGUAGGGGAGAUUGGAAUUCCUGGUGUAGCGGUGGAAUGCGCAGAUAUCAGGAAGAACACCGGUGGCGAAGGCGGUGGGCUGGGCCGGCACUGACGCUGAGGAGCGAAAGCGUGGGGAGCGAACAGG
This 253-nucleotide ribosomal RNA is filed under the name uncultured bacterium. RNAcentral describes it as "partial 16S ribosomal RNA". It matches the Rfam family "Bacterial small subunit ribosomal RNA", at positions 524 to 776 of the family's 1533-position model. The record is from RNAcentral.